ACGUUGAAACACCGGUUCUCGUACGAUCACCAAAGUUCAGCAACGUCGUGCCUGGUCAGUAUCUAGAUGGGUGAUCGUUUGGGAAUACCAGGCGCUGUAA
Molecule: ribosomal RNA, 100 nt
Filed under: Acanthosepion pharaonis
Lineage: Eukaryota; Metazoa; Mollusca; Cephalopoda; Sepiida; Sepiidae
Source: RNAcentral